GUCGUCAGCUUACCCUGUGAAGGUUUAACAGUAAGCAAAACGGGCCAAGCCCAAAACGUCAGGUCGAGGUGUAGCGCACGAGGUGGGAAGAAAUGGGCUACAUUUUCUACCACAGAACAUAACGAAUAGCGCCCUGAAACAUGGCACCUGAAGGAGGAUUUAGUAGUAAAAAGCAAAUAGAGUGUCCUUUUGAAUCAGGCUCUGAGGCGCGCACACACCGCCCGUCACCCUCCCCUUUUCAUCUUAAUCACCAACAUACCUAAUCUUAUAUCCAAAACUAUGGGGAGGCAAGUCGUAACAUGG
This 303-nucleotide ribosomal RNA is filed under the name Lasiancistrus caucanus. RNAcentral's name for it is "partial small subunit ribosomal RNA". It matches the Rfam family "Bacterial small subunit ribosomal RNA", at positions 1051 to 1496 of the family's 1533-position model. Lineage: Eukaryota; Metazoa; Chordata; Actinopteri; Siluriformes; Loricariidae. The record is from RNAcentral.